Non-coding RNA from Zootermopsis nevadensis, 58 nucleotides. NCBI's taxonomy places the organism in Eukaryota, Metazoa, Arthropoda, Insecta, Blattodea, Termopsidae. The record is from Rfam.
UGGUCUAGCGGUUAGAACGCUGGCCUUGUAAUCCUGGGGUCCCGGGUUCGAUUCCCGG